This is a long non-coding RNA of Anopheles merus, 1631 nucleotides long. RefSeq lists it as uncharacterized. NCBI's taxonomy places the organism in Eukaryota, Metazoa, Arthropoda, Insecta, Diptera, Culicidae. The transcript is spliced from 3 exons. The record is from RefSeq and is a predicted model, not a curated record.
CCAUACCAGAACCAGCGUGUGCACUACCUAACUAGAGCUCGUGUCUGGAACAGUUUUUCACCAAAACGUGUUCAAACGUUGCCGGGAAAACAUCGUAUUUUCAAGGAAUCUGCAAUAGUUUGUUUGAUAACACAAGUUAUUAGUGUGCAAAGCAAUAUUCAGUGAGCAGUGACUUUUGUUCAAUUCUUCAUAAACAUCGCUAACAUAACUGAAGUGCAAAGCCAACUAAACCAUACAUAGCUAAUUAUUACCGUACAGAAAUUAUUUUUGGCAAAAAAAAGAGCAUAAACGCUUUAAGAUAUGUAAACAAUCCAAAAAUAAGAAUGCAUUUGUUGGACAACAUAUUCAUCGAUCUCCAUAUGAUUUGCUAAAAUCAUCAAAAACCGCCUGUAUCGCAUUGGAAAAAAAAUCACACCCGUCCCGUACUACAAGUCGUAGGGAGUAUUACAGAUCAAAACUGAAAGCUGCAUUUCAAUCAUAUAAACACAAAUAUUCAAAAGGCUGGUAACCAUCUGUUCGGAAUCCGUAACAUAAAGAUAUAAUAGCAUAAGUACAUGUCAUAGACAUGUUGUAAAUUAGUAACAUAUCAGUGUCAACAACUCCAAAUGUAUAUGUAACGCUUUGAUUUAGCAUAGAAUUCAAUCAUUUAAAGAUACGAAUAAAUUCCCAUUUAUUCCAUCUGAUCCUAUUCAUGAAACAUGUAUGUGUAUCUCUUAAAUGUUAUCAAAACAAAAAUGUGUCUAUUGCAAAGAAUAUUAUUAACUAUUAAUAGUCAAAACUAAGACAGUUUAAUCCAAAGAUAUAACUGUUAUCAUUCGAUCGAUAAAACAUGACCUUUUGACGAGAAUGCUUACACGUCGCACGACAAUGACAUCAGAAAAGAUUUUUAGAUAAAUGUAAAGAAAGGUACGUAAACAAAUGAAAGGAGGAAAUGUUUGUCCAAGUAUUUACACCUAGAAUCUGUGCAAAUGUUUCACAAUUUUUCCCACAACCUAUCAAAUCUAACAUUAUUGCACAGGAAAAUCUUGAGUUGGUUCUGUAUUAUCCGUAGGAAAGAUCCCUGAAUGUUGAGACUGAUAAAUCGAAUUGGCAGCAAUAGCACGGCAGAACCUGUUUCUUCAACGAGAAUGUGCGGGAGGUAUGGACGAAUCGAUGAACAAAUUAAGAACUGUAUAUAAGCAUCUAUGACGUUUCGUCGGGACUGGAAGCAUAGGAAAAUUUGUUGCGUUUUUGAUGCUGGUUCAAGCUAACCCGUGCUACUCGCCUACCAUUGAUAACGUCUAUGGUCGAAUCAUGAAAACAGUUUCGCUCGGUUUCAUCAAUUGGACCAUUUUGUUUCGGUUGAUAUCGUACGUUCUUCUUUUUUUUUAAAUUUCGAAAACGUUGUUGUCUGGACACAUCUGGCUACAUCAGAUAAUCGCAGUAGCCCUGCAGCUGAUCUGACAUAAUAAUCUUUUUUCUAUAAAUCGACACACCAACCUUUAAAACUAUAGUUUACCUACGUAUGUAAAAUAUAAAUUUCAAAAGACACUUUCUUUUGUAGCCUAAAUUAAAGGAUUAAAGGCUAAACCAGGAACAAUCAUUUUACUUACAGUAUUACCAGUUAAAAAAAAAACAAUUGAACCGCAAAC